This 443-nucleotide ribosomal RNA is filed under the name uncultured bacterium. RNAcentral describes it as "partial 16S ribosomal RNA". It matches the Rfam family "Bacterial small subunit ribosomal RNA", at positions 338 to 795 of the family's 1533-position model. The record is from RNAcentral.
CCUACGGGAGGCAGCAGUGGGGAAUAUUGGGCAAUGGGCGCAAGCCUGACCCAGCAACGCCGCGUGAAGGAAGAAGGCCCUCGGGUUGUAAACUUCUUUUAUUCGGGACGAAACAAAUGACGGUACCGAGUGAAUAAGCCACGGCUAACUACGUGCCAGCAGACGCGGUAAUACGUAGGUGGCAAGCGUUAUCCGGAUUUACUGGGUGUAAAGGGCGUGUAGGCGGGAGAGCAAGUCAGACGUGAAAUUCCAGGGCUCAACCCUGGAACUGCGUUUGAAACUGUUCUUCUUGAGUGAUGGGGAGGCAGGCGGAAUUCCGUGUGUAGCGGUGAAAUGCGUAGAUAUACGGAGGAACACCAGUGGCGAAGGCGGCCUGCUGGACAUUAACUGACGCUGAGGCGCGAAAGCGUGGGGAGCAAACAGGAUUAGAUACCCGUGUAGUC